GUGGCUGUAGCUUAGUGGGAGAGCUCUAGAUUGUGGUUCUAGAAGGCGCCAGUUCGAAUCUGGUCAGCCACCCCA
RNAcentral lists this transfer RNA (75 nucleotides) under Rickettsiales bacterium. RNAcentral describes it as "tRNA-His". It matches the Rfam family "tRNA". From Rfam's summary of the family: Transfer RNA (tRNA) molecules are approximately 80 nucleotides in length. Their secondary structure includes four short double-helical elements and three loops (D, anti-codon, and T loops). The record is from RNAcentral. Lineage: Bacteria; Pseudomonadati; Pseudomonadota; Alphaproteobacteria; Rickettsiales.